AAAGUCGUAACAAGGUUUCCGUAGGUGAACCUGCGGAAGGAUCAUUACCGUGUCGCAUACGCGACGUUAAAGAUUUCCACCCUUGCAUUUCGAGUACCCUCUGUUUCCUCGGCGGGCCCGCCCGCCAAUGGGGACCACAAACAAACCUCUUGUAGUUGCAGUAAACGUCACAAAUCAAAAAAAUUCAAAA
Molecule: unclassified non-coding RNA, 190 nt
Filed under: plant metagenome
Description: partial contains small subunit ribosomal RNA and internal transcribed spacer 1
Rfam family: Eukaryotic small subunit ribosomal RNA (bases 1-47)
Source: RNAcentral